This 459-nucleotide ribosomal RNA is filed under the name uncultured bacterium. Its description in RNAcentral is "bacterial SSU rRNA". It matches the Rfam family "Bacterial small subunit ribosomal RNA", at positions 29 to 524 of the family's 1533-position model. The record is from RNAcentral.
AACGAACGCUGGCGGCAUGCCUAACACAUGCAAGUCGAACGGGAUCCUGGCUUCGGUCAGGUGAGAGUGGCGGACGGGUGAGUAACGCGUGGGAACCUGCCCAGUGGUGGGGGAUAACUGCGGGAAACUGCAGCUAAUACCGCAUGAGCCCGAGAGGGGAAAGAUUUAUCGCCAUUGGAGGGGCCCGCGUUCGAUUAGGUAGUUGGUGAGGUAACGGCUCACCAAGCCGACGAUCGAUAGCUGGUCUGAGAGGAUGAUCAGCCACACUGGGACUGAGAUACGGCCCAGACUCCUACGGGAGGCAGCAGUGGGGAAUAUUGGACAAUGGGGGCAACCCUGAUCCAGCAAUGCCGCGUGAGUGAUGAAGGCCUUCGGGUUGUAAAGCUCUUUUGGCGGGGACGAUGAUGACGGUACCGCAGAAGAAGCCCCGGGCUAACUUCGUGCCAGCAGCCGCGUAAU